AGGAUUCACGAGGGGAAAUGAAGAAUACGGUGAGUUCUCUUGGGUCAGCGCCUUACUGCUAAAAAGAGGGCAGCAGUAUUUCUCUCCCCCAGCCCUCGAAGCCAGUGGGGUUCCAGGAUUGGUGACCCCUGGCGCCACCCUCACCCCCAUCAGCGUUUGGAUGCCUUCCUCUAGGUCCUUUAGGAGGUCAUAGACGUUGCUGUCAGAGGCGCCGUACACCAGGCUGUUGGCGAAGACACUCCUGAGGAACUGCACGGGCUCCAGCCACGACUGGAUGAGCAGCAGGGAGAUGCGGAGCAGCUCUAGGUUCUGCAGGGGAAGGACGGGCAUUGGCUGUGCUGCCCGGGGGCUCUGACUACAGGUCUCCCCCAUCCCCGCCUGGGGAGAAGGCAUCCACUCACGGAUUUCUGUUGUGUUUCCUCCCUGGAGGUCUGGGGGUUCUGCAGGAAUGAAUACUUCUGUUCCUUUGGGAUAUAGGCUUCUUCCUAGGAGAAGGACCGCCCA
This 504-nucleotide long non-coding RNA is filed under the name Homo sapiens (human). RNAcentral's name for it is "HSALNT0391084". The record is from RNAcentral. Lineage: Eukaryota; Metazoa; Chordata; Mammalia; Primates; Hominidae.